ACAUCCAGAGAAUUUAGCAGAGAUGCUUUAGUGCCUUCGGGAACUCUGAGACAGGUGCUGCAUGGCUGUCGUCAGCUCGUGUUGUGAAAUGUUGGGUUAAGUCCCCGNAACGAGCGCAACCCUUAUCCUUUGUUGCCAGCACGUAAUGGUGGGAACUCAAGGGAGACUGCCGGUGAUAAACCGGAGGAAGGUGGGGAUGACGUCAAGUCAUCAUGGCCCUUACGAGUAGGGCUACACACGUGCUACAAUGGCGCAUACAAAGAGAAGCGACCUCGCGAGAGCAAGCGGACCUCAUAAAGUGCGUCGUAGUCCGGAUUGGAGUCUGCAACUCGACUCCAUGAAGUCGGAAUCGCUAGUAAUCGUAAAUCAGAAUGUUACGGUGAAUACGUUCCCGGGCCUUGUACACACCGCCCGUCACACCAUGGGAGUGGGUUGCAAAAGAAGUAGAUAGCUUAACCUUCGGGAGGGCGUUUACCACUUUGUGAUUCAUGACUGGGGUGAAGUCGUAACAAGGUAGGCGUAGUGCU
This 527-nucleotide ribosomal RNA is filed under the name uncultured bacterium. RNAcentral's name for it is "bacterial SSU rRNA". It matches the Rfam family "Bacterial small subunit ribosomal RNA", at positions 984 to 1509 of the family's 1533-position model. The record is from RNAcentral.